CGGUGGCGGAUGGGCAUGCGGCGCAUUAGCUAGUCGGCGGGGUAACGGCCCACCGAGGCGACGAUGCGUAGGGGUUCUGAGAGGAAGGUCCCCCACACUGGUACUGAGACACGGACCAGACUCCUACGGGAGGCAGCAGUGAGGAAUAUUGGUCAAUGGGCGCGAGCCUGAACCAGCCAAGUCGCGUGAGGGAUGACGGUCCUACGGAUUGUAAACCUCUUUUGCCGGGGAGCAAGCGUGCGUUCGUGAACGCGCGUCGAGAGUACCCGGAGAAAAAGCAUCGGCUAACUCCGUGCCAGCAGCCGCGGUAAUACGGAGGAUGCGAGCGUUAUCCGGAUUUAUUGGGUUUAAAGGGUGCGUAGGCGGGAUGCCAAGUCAGCGGUAAAAAUGCGGUGCUCAACGCCGUCGAGCCGUUGAAACUGGCGUUCUUGAGUGGGCGAGAAGUAUGCGGAAUGCGUGGUGUAGCGGUGAAAUGCAUAGAUAUCACGCAGAACUCCGAUUGCGAAAGCAGCAUACCGGCGCCCUACUGACGCUGAGGCACGAAAGCGUGGGUAUCGAACAGGAUUAGAUACCCUGGUAGUCCACGCAGUAAACGAUGAAUGCUAACUGUCCGGCUCGAAUGAGCGCUGG
This 630-nucleotide ribosomal RNA is filed under the name uncultured bacterium. Its description in RNAcentral is "bacterial SSU rRNA". It matches the Rfam family "Bacterial small subunit ribosomal RNA", at positions 216 to 842 of the family's 1533-position model. The record is from RNAcentral.